AAAAGAAAGGCGUGAAUGAUGAAGAGAAAGAUGAAUUAAACCAAACAGAACAGAAAUGAAUGAUGAGUGAAGAAAGCACGCAUUACAUUCACUUCGUUCUUUUCAUUUGUCUUUCUUCAUUUCAUUCUUCACUUACAUUAUAAACACAAUCCUGUUACCAAAGAGCUGAAUUAGAUGAAUGAGAAGAAACAAACCAAAUGAAAUGUAAUGUAAUGGUUGGUUCGCUUUCUCUUCAUUCACUUCUUUGUCUUCAUUCUAAUGCAUUAGAAAAAGACAAAAGAAGU
Molecule: non-coding RNA, 284 nt
Filed under: Symbiodinium sp. CCMP2430
Lineage: Eukaryota; Dinophyceae; Suessiales; Symbiodiniaceae
Source: RNAcentral